GACGAACGCUGGCGGCGUGCCUAAUACAUGCAAGUUGAGCGCUGAAGGUUGGUACUUGUACCGACUGGAUGAGCAGCGAACGGGUGAGUAACGCGUGGGGAAUCUGCCUUUGAGCGGGGGACAACAUUUGGAAACGAAUGCUAAUACCGCAUAAAAACUUUAAACACAAGUUUUAAGUUUGAAAGAUGCAAUUGCAUCACUCAAAGAUGAUCCCGCGUUGUAUUAGCUAGUUGGUGAGGUAAAGGCUCACCAAGGCGAUGAUACAUAGCCGACCUGAGAGGGUGAUCGGCCACAUUGGGACUGAGACACGGCCCAAACUCCGACGGGAGGCAGCAGUAGGGAAUCUUCGGCAAUGGACGAAAGUCUGACCGAGCAACGCCGCGUGAGUGAAGAAGGUUUUCGGAUCGUAAAACUCUGUUGGUAGAGAAGAACGUUGGUGAGAGUGGAAAGCUCAUCAAGUGACGGUAACUACCCAGAAAGGGACGGCUAACUACGUG
Molecule: ribosomal RNA, 497 nt
Filed under: uncultured bacterium
Lineage: Bacteria
Description: partial 16S ribosomal RNA
Rfam family: Bacterial small subunit ribosomal RNA
Source: RNAcentral